GGGAAGGUAGCUCAGUGGUGGAGCACUCACCUUGCAUAUGAGAAGCCCGGGGUUCAACCCCCAGCUCUGCGG
Molecule: transfer RNA, 72 nt
Filed under: Urocitellus parryii (Arctic ground squirrel)
Lineage: Eukaryota; Metazoa; Chordata; Mammalia; Rodentia; Sciuridae
Also listed under: 1 other name
Description: Spermophilus parryii (Arctic ground squirrel) tRNA
Rfam family: tRNA
About the family: Transfer RNA (tRNA) molecules are approximately 80 nucleotides in length. Their secondary structure includes four short double-helical elements and three loops (D, anti-codon, and T loops).
Source: Rfam by way of RNAcentral